CUGGAACUUGAAGGUAUCCACAGAAAGGGUACCUGGAAAAUAAGAUGAAUAUGAAAUGGGGAGAGCAAGAAGGAGCUGAAAUGCAUCAGCUGGAGCCCGGGAGAACAGAUAGAAACUCAGACUCUUUCUUGUGUUCUCUCUGCCCUUGAUGGUCUGCAUGUCCUGGAGAAGCCAGGUCUUUCAUCACACACAGCUGGCCCAGCAGUCAGAGAAGCUGAAGGAGGAUUGGGGGGAAGGUGGAGCAGCAGGAGGCCUGGCUGUUCCUCACACCAAGGAGGUGCAUCCGCAGAUGAGGAGUGAAUGCCAAGGGCAUGUGAAUGCCUUGAAGUGGCUAUUUCUUGGAAGCAGAUAUUAUAAGAGGCCCUGUCAAGGAACUGUGGGUAUCCUCUGGUCGGCAGCCAGAGAGAAACAGAGGACCUUGGAAUAACAGCCUUCAAGAAGCAUUAUUUUGCCAACAGCCAUGUGAGUUAUCUUGGAUGCAGAUCAUUUCCCAGUUGAGCCUUCUGAUGAGACUGCAGACCCAGUUUCCACUUGAUUGCAGCCUUACAAGAGACUGAAGCUGAGGACCUAAAUAAGUCAUACCCAGAUUUCUCCUCCAAAGAAACUGUGAGAUAAUAUGUGUGCAUAUUUUAAACUGACAAACUUCAGGGUACUGUGAUUCAUAGCAACAGAUCAGCAAAGCACACACUAAGUGUCUCAAAUGUUCAUGAUAUAAUAGCAUAAAAGUAAUAAAACAAGUGGACAAACAAAUCUAUGAUCAAUGAAUGUCAUGAAAUGUCUCAGAGACAACUGGGUAACCACAUGAAGAAGUUGUCCCAUGUACAUGUGAGGGCCAAUGAGUUAAAGGAGCCCUAGUUAGCUAGUUUGAUUUCAUGGGGGUUACUCUUGGUUGCAUAAAUUUAAUUAUUUAUUUAUUUAUUUUUUUGAGAUGGAGUCUUACUUUGUCACCCAGGCUGGAGUGCAGUGGCACAAUCUUGGCUCACUGCAACCUCUGCCUCCCGGGUUCAAGCAAUUCUCCUGCCUCAGCCAUAAGAGUAGCUGGGACUACAGGCACAUGCCACCAUGCCUGCCUAACUUUUGUAUUUUUAGUAGAGACAGGGUUUCACCAUGCUGGCCAGGCUGGUCUCGAACUCCUGACCUCAUGAUCUGCCUGCCUCAGCCUCCAAAAGUGCUGUGAUUAGAGGCAUGAGUCACCAUACCUGGCUGGUUGCAUAAAUUUAUACAGUAUAUUUUACUUCUUUGUCUGACUUCCUGCUAUUUCCCUCCCUACUGAUCGUUUUGUGGGCUGAUUUUUUUUUGUAAUUUUAAUUGAAUCAUGUUAUGCUGUAUAUGAAGUGAAACCUUUAAUGGGAUAAAUCAAACUAAAUAAAAUGUUUACUUAUAAGGAACUCAUUUUUGAGGACUCAUUUGGACCCAAUUCUCUUCCUGGAUCUGGUAGCAAAUUGAAAAAUGUGCCAUCUUGGUCCAGUUCCCAGUUGUUACAGUCUUUUUGAUAUGAUUUAAAUGCCAGUGUAGAGUUCUGAAAAGAACUUGGUCUCCUCUUUGCCUGCAGUUUAUCAUUCUGUCUCCUUUUGGAUGAAUUGUGUGUCAUUCCUAUAAAAAUACCACAGUUGAAAACAAGCAUUUCCCAGCCAUGAGCAGUAUGCUUCCUGAAAGCAUAUUCCCUGGAAGGGAAUGACAUUGCCUAUUUUUUCUAUUGAUCUGAGACAUAGUGGGUAGGACAGAGAGCAAUUAAAGAAUUGGCAUAAUAUAGGGUUUCUCUGUCUCAGCACUUGUGGCGUUUUGGACCAAAUAGUCAUUUAUUGUGAAGGGCUGUCCUGUGCACUGUAGGAUACUUACCAGCAUCCCUGACCUUUACCCACUCAUUGCUAGUAGCACUCUCAGGUCAUGACAACC
RNAcentral lists this long non-coding RNA (1896 nucleotides) under Homo sapiens (human). Its description in RNAcentral is "HSALNT0151678". Lineage: Eukaryota; Metazoa; Chordata; Mammalia; Primates; Hominidae. The record is from RNAcentral.